CAAGGGGGCUCUUGGGUUGUAAACCUCUUUUCUCAGGGAAUAAGCAAUGAAGGUACCUGAGGAAUCAGCAUCGGCUAACUCCGUGCCAGCAGCCGCGGUAAUACGGAGGAUGCAAGCGUUAUCCGGAAUCAUUGGGCGUAAAGCGUCCGCAGGUGGUAGUUCAAGUCUACUGUCAAAGGCUGUGGCUUAACUACUGACAGGCAGUGGAAACUGAACAGCUAGAGUGCGGUAGGGGUAGAGGGAAUUCCCGGUGUAGCGGUGAAAUGCGUAGAGAUCGGGAAGAACACCAGUGGCGAAAGCGCUCUGCUGGACCUGCACUGACACUGAGGGACGAAAGCUAGGGGAGCGAAUGGGAUUAGAUACCCCAGUAGUCCUAGCCGUAAACGAUGGAUACUAGGUGUGGCGAGUAUCGACCCUCGCAGUGUCGUAGCUAACGCGUUAAGUAUCCCGCCUGGGGAGUACGCACGCAAGUGUGAAACUCAAAGGAAUUGACGGGGGCCCGCACAAGCGGUGGAGUAUGUGGUUUAAUUCGAUGCAACGCGAAGAACCUUACCAGGGCUUGACAUGUCGCGAAUCUUUUUGAAAGAAAAGAGUGCCUUCGGGAGCCCGAACACAGGUGGUGCAUGGCUGUCGUCAGCUCGUGUCGUGAGAUGUUGGGUUAAGUCCCGCAACGAGCGCAACCCUCGUUUUUAGUUGCCAGUAUUAAGUUAGGCACUCUAAAGAGACUGCCGGUGACAAACCGGAGGAAGGUGGGGAUGACGUCAAGUCAGCAUGCCCCUUACGCCCUGGGCGACACACGUACUACAAUGCUACGGACAAAGGGCAGCCAAGUCGCGAGGCCGAGCCAAUCCCGUAAACCGUGGCACAGUUCAGAUUGCAGGCUGCAACUNGCCUGCAUGAAGGCGGAAUCGCUAGUAAUCGCAGGUCAGCAUACUGCGGUGAAAACGUUCCCGGGCCUUGUACACACCGCCCGUCACACCAUGGAAGUUGGCCAUGCCCGAAGGGGUUAAAACAACC
RNAcentral lists this ribosomal RNA (1017 nucleotides) under Oscillatoria sp. CR_28M. RNAcentral's name for it is "bacterial SSU rRNA". It matches the Rfam family "Bacterial small subunit ribosomal RNA", at positions 407 to 1440 of the family's 1533-position model. The record is from RNAcentral. Lineage: Bacteria; Bacillati; Cyanobacteriota; Cyanophyceae; Oscillatoriales; Oscillatoriaceae.